AGAGUUUGAUCCUGGCUCAGGACGAACGCUGGCGGCGUGCCUAAUACAUGCAAGUCGAACGAACUCUGGUAUUGAUUGGUGCUUGCAUCAUGAUUUACAUUUGAGUGAGUGGCGAACUGGUGAGUAACACGUGGGAAACCUGCCCAGAAGCGGGGGAUAACACCUGGAAACAGAUGCUAAUACCGCAUAACAACUUGGACCGCAUGGUCCGAGUUUGAAAGAUGGCUUCGGCUAUCACUUUUGGAUGGUCCCGCGGCGUAUUAGCUAGAUGGUGGGGUAACGGCUCACCAUGGCAAUGAUACGUAGCCGACCUGAGAGGGUAAUCGGCCACAUUGGGACUGAGACACGGCCCAAACUCCUACGGGAGGCAGCAGUAGGGAAUCUUCCACAAUGGACGAAAGUCUGAUGGAGCAACGCCGCGUGAGUGAAGAAGGGUUUCGGCUCGUAAAACUCUGUUGUUAAAGAAGAACAUAUCUGAGAGUAACUGUUCAGGUAUUGACGGUAUUUAACCAGAAAGCCACGGCUAACUACGUGCCAGCAGCCGCGGUAAUACGUAGGUGGCAAGCGUUGUCCGGAUUUAUUGGGCGUAAAGCGAGCGCAGGCGGUUUUUUAAGUCUGAUGUGAAAGCCUUCGGCUCAACCGAAGAAGUGCAUCGGAAACUGGGAAACUUGAGUGCAGAAGAGGACAGUGGAACUCCAUGUGUAGCGGUGAAAUGCGUAGAUAUAUGGAAGAACACCAGUGGCGAAGGCGGCUGUCUGGUCUGUAACUGACGCUGAGGCUCGAAAGUAUGGGUAGCAAACAGGAUUAGAUACCCUGGUAGUCCAUACCGUAAACGAUGAAUGCUAAGUGUUGGAGGGUUUCCGCCCUUCAGUGCUGCAGCUAACGCAUUAAGCAUUCCGCCUGGGGAGUACGGCCGCAAGGCUGAAACUCAAAGGAAUUGACGGGGGCCCGCACAAGCGGUGGAGCAUGUGGUUUAAUUCGAAGCUACGCGAAGAACCUUACCAGGUCUUGACAUACUAUGCAAAUCUAAGAGAUUAGACGUUCCCUUCGGGGACAUGGAUACAGGUGGUGCAUGGUUGUCGUCAGCUCGUGUCGUGAGAUGUUGGGUUAAGUCCCGCAACGAGCGCAACCCUUAUUAUCAGUUGCCAGCAUUAAGUUGGGCACUCUGGUGAGACUGCCGGUGACAAACCGGAGGAAGGUGGGGAUGACGUCAAAUCAUCAUGCCCCUUAUGACCUGGGCUACACACGUGCUACAAUGGAUGGUACAACGAGUUGCGAACUCGCGAGAGUAAGCUAAUCUCUUAAAGCCAUUCUCAGUUCGGAUUGUAGGCUGCAACUCGCCUACAUGAAGUCGGAAUCGCUAGUAAUCGCGGAUCAGCAUGCCGCGGUGAAUACGUUCCCGGGCCUUGUACACACCGCCCGUCACACCAUGAGAGUUUGUAACACCCAAAGUCGGUGGGGUAACCUUUUAGGAACCAGCCGCCUAAGGUGGGACAGAUGAUUAGGGUGAA
This 1511-nucleotide ribosomal RNA is filed under the name Lactiplantibacillus plantarum. Its description in RNAcentral is "partial 16S ribosomal RNA". It matches the Rfam family "Bacterial small subunit ribosomal RNA". The record is from RNAcentral. RNAcentral also lists the same sequence under 1 other name. Lineage: Bacteria; Bacillati; Bacillota; Bacilli; Lactobacillales; Lactobacillaceae.